This 254-nucleotide ribosomal RNA is filed under the name uncultured bacterium. RNAcentral's name for it is "partial 16S ribosomal RNA". It matches the Rfam family "Bacterial small subunit ribosomal RNA", at positions 524 to 776 of the family's 1533-position model. The record is from RNAcentral.
UACGGGGGGGGGCAAGCGUUGUUCGGAAUUACUGGGCGUAAAGGGCUUGUAGGUGGCCAACUAAGUCAGACGUGAAAUCCCUCAGCUUAACUGGGGAACUGCGUCUGAUACUGGAUGGCUUGAGUUUGGGAGAGGGAUGCGGAAUUCCAGGUGUAGCGGUGAAAUGCGUAGAUAUCUGGAGGAACACCGGUGGCGAAGGCGGCAUCCUGGGCAGUUGCUGACACUGAGGCGCGACAGCGUGGGGAGCAAACAGG